Molecule: transfer RNA, 72 nt
Filed under: Loxodonta africana (African savanna elephant)
Lineage: Eukaryota; Metazoa; Chordata; Mammalia; Proboscidea; Elephantidae
Rfam family: tRNA
About the family: Transfer RNA (tRNA) molecules are approximately 80 nucleotides in length. Their secondary structure includes four short double-helical elements and three loops (D, anti-codon, and T loops). Further hydrogen bonds mediate the characteristic L-shaped molecular structure. tRNAs have two regions of fundamental functional importance: the anti-codon, which is responsible for specific mRNA codon recognition, and the 3' end, to which the tRNAs corresponding amino acid is attached (by aminoacyl-tRNA synthetases). tRNAs cope with the degeneracy of the genetic code in two manners: having more than one tRNA (with a specific anti-codon) for a particular amino acid; and 'wobble' base-pairing, i.e. permitting non-standard base-pairing at the 3rd anti-codon position.
Source: Rfam by way of RNAcentral
CCCCUGGUGGCAAAAAUGGUUAAGCGCUUGGCUGUUAACCGAGAAGUUUGUGAUUCAAGUCCAACCAGAGGC